UACGGAGGGGGCUAGCGUUGUUCGGAAUUACUGGGCGUAAAGCGCACGUAGGCGGCUUUGUAAGUUAGAGGUGAAAGCCCAGGGCUCAACCCUGGAAUUGCCUUUAAGACUGCAUCGCUUGAAUCAUGGAGAGGUGAGUGGAAUUCCGAGUGUAGAGGUGAAAUUCGUAGAUAUCAGGAGGAACACCGGUGGCGAAGGCGGCCACCUGGACGGUCACUGACGCUGAGACGCGAAAGCUAGGGUAGCGAACGGG
RNAcentral lists this ribosomal RNA (253 nucleotides) under uncultured bacterium. Its description in RNAcentral is "partial 16S ribosomal RNA". It matches the Rfam family "Bacterial small subunit ribosomal RNA", at positions 524 to 776 of the family's 1533-position model. The record is from RNAcentral.